RNAcentral lists this long non-coding RNA (11651 nucleotides) under Trifolium pratense (red clover). RNAcentral describes it as "long non-coding RNA (TPRA_LNC002606)". Lineage: Eukaryota; Viridiplantae; Streptophyta; Magnoliopsida; Fabales; Fabaceae. The record is from RNAcentral.
GGGAGUGAUGAAGAGGAUACAAACCGGUACUAGUGUAUAUGAUAUUGCAUAUUGCAUAAGUGGUUGAUAUGUAUAUGAUACUGCCAAUGCACGAGGUGCACGACCUACAGAUGAAUUAUUAUUUAAUACUAUAAAUCGAUAUCAAUAUUGAAGUCCGCGGCUUUUGUCUGACACUGAAACAAAACAUGACAAAAUGCAAGCCAGAUACAACUUAAUUAUAUGCAGCAUCAACAAGUGGGCACAUGACAUGCACUGAAGGAGUAAUAAUUUUUCCAUUCUUCUGAUUAGGCUCAGCUUCCAAAUAUGCCCUUUUUCCUGUUGUUCAUAUUUCACUUGCAGAGACUAUGCCACAAUUGGAAGCAAAUAGACUCAUAAUGUGAGUUAACACAAAUCAUAAACCAAUCAACAACAUGCAAAUUCCACAAUUUUACUGAUUUACAAAUUCCACAAUUUUACUCAUACGUAUAGUACAUUGUUGAGGUGAACAAUUGUGAUAGGUUCACAAAUAGUGUUUAUUAAUUUUUCUAUAUUAAACACUAUUUGUGGACCUAUUAGAAUUGUCCACCUCAACAAUGUACUAGUAUAUGUCCAAAUAAGAUGUGUAUCGGAGUGGCGGAGUGUUCACCUUUUUAGCAAAUACUUAAAGUAAGGCAACAAGCUAACAGAGAAAGAGGACCACAAUUCCAGAUGGCACAUAAAAUCUUAUGCACAAGUCACACAGUGGCUCAUAAAAGAUAGAAUCAUUAUUAUCAACAACCAACUGUCAGCUAAAUACUAAAAAUAAACAAGACACAAAUUCUGAUAAGGUAACAACAAGCAUAUGAUUUGUGUCGUAAAUCGUAAUAAUGUGAAUUAAAGAACUCAAUGUCUGUCUUUCAUUCAAGAGCAGGAAAAAUAGAUAGUGAUCUUGUAAAACUUCUCUGUUAAUAAUAGAUUGGCAUGCAAGAAACAACUAUGCUCAUAUAACAAAUGAAUAAAAAUUACAUUGAAUUAAUUUAACUUUUGAGAUUUUUUUCCUGUAACCAUCUGGGUUAUCCGAAGGCCCCUACUGAAUGCUUCGUUGAAGAGAAUUCUGGUUUGCAUAGCUUGAAACCCAGGCAACCAUGAUAGUAUUGCAACAGGAGCCAUAACAAUGAUUCCAAAUAAUAUAUCGUAUAGACGAGCCAAUGAAACAACGACAUACCAAAUUAUAGUGUGCUGCAAAGCUGGCCUAAAUACUUGAGCAAUCAAUAACAUACCCCAACCUGUAGGAAUGAAUGCUAACAAGCUAGUAAAAAGGUCCAUGAAUUUGAAUUCAGUGAAUUCCAACAGAACAACUAUCACAAGUAUAGCAAGAACUAUGACAAUUGACUGGAUCAACCUAUAAUAGACAUGAUUUUUGGCUUCAUAUUUAUUCCUGGCAUAUGCUACCACCACAUAAAUCCCAAACACGGCGAAUACAUAAAUCCAUGAUAGCAAGUAAACUGCAAUACUGGUACUUCCUGCAGCUAUGUCUAGCUGAUAGACAAUACCAUACUGGAAGACAAAGAAACGAAGGUCUAAAACAAUCUCCAUAAACUUUCCCCAAAAACCAGUUACCUUUAGAUGAUCUUGCUCUUCAUACCACCACUUUUCCCAGCUCUCUUCAGCUUUAGCAAACACCCCUCCACGGUACCAAAUCCAUUUCAUAAAGUUGUCAAAAUCAUACACAGUUUUUAACCAGUCAAAACCAGAAGGAUUGAACACAAAGGGUGCCAUAAUCCAUGAUGCAACCAAGAACCAACUAGAGAUGGUCAUGGCUAGAUAGACAAAUGUGUUAGUUGAUACAACACUGUGUGCUGCAUAAAUUAGUAAUAUUAACCCUAACUCAAUUGCUUUCACAAAAUGGCUACGAGCAUAGAGUCUAUAAUUUUCUGCAAAACUCUUGUGCUCUACAACAAAACCGCGACCAGUUGCUCGAUAUUUUGCACCACCAUGUAGGAUUGUCCGGCCAAAGAAAUGGGUGCGUGUACCCAUGGAGAAAGUGUAGAAAACUGAUGCAAGUUGGAGCUGCAUUGUCAAAAAUUCCCAGACAGCUUGAAGGAACCCUUGUUCAAGGGAAUUCUCCACAAUCAUUGGAAGGGCAGUGAAAAGUCCAAUUUGGACUAUGAACUGCUGAUUCAAUAUUAUACUAAGUGCUUUAUUACUAUUGCUGUUACUUUCCAUAGCAGCUUCAACACCACUAAGAGCAAGCAUUAAUCGACCCCAUAGAAAUGCAUAAACAGUAAGAACCACCAUCAUUGUGUUGAAAAAGAAUCCCACUGUGGUGUAGAAGAAUGACAGCAUCCUGAAAAAAUCCAGUCUAUGACCCAAUCUAUAUACAUCUCUGCUCAAUACUUGCUCCCCGUUUCCACUGGCAACUUUCGCUUCAAACAUUGAUAUUUGAUUCAACCCAACAUCCCUACCUUUUCCAACCUGAAUGUAUUCAUGAUGUGUGAUAUUACCUCCACGAAGAGUACAGUUAAAACCGGCAAAAAUGUCUUCGCUUAUGUUGAUGACUCUGGAAGCUUUACUGAUACCGCCUCUAGUUAUGAACCAAAACCUGUCAAACACAUCAGGAUGGCCAUAAUGCAUUCGAAUUUUCAAUGGAUUUGCCAAAACCCUCUGUCCUAAGGUGACAAAACUUGAUUCCUGAGCUGACAUGAACCAAGCAAGAGAUGAAACGAAACCUGUAAAAAUAUGUUCCCUCACUCCCAAAAUAGUUGGUUUUCGAAUACCAUAGUAAUGCUUGAAUUCUUCCAAUAGAUUUCUCAUUUUAAGUGCCUCCUCGAAGUAGUUGUCCUGGUUCAUAUCAAUAGUUUGAAUUGCAUCCCCACGUGUGAAGAUGAUGGCAUGAUUUUGAUUUUCUGGCUUUCCUUCUCCUAGUUUUAAGGGACCUGGCAAUUUUACUCGGUAAAUUUCCACCUCCCUCUCCAAUUGUUGAUCGUACUUGACAAGAACAGAAUAAUACUCCUUCCCACUCCUCCCUGUGCGAACCUCAUCAACAUAGGCAACUCUUAGAGCUUCAUUGUUUUUCAUUAGAUACAAAAUUUCAUCAGCAUGAGGAUCCUUUCUUGCCUUCUGAGUUCCAUAUAUCUGGCAAGCAAUCACAUAUGUAAAUUUCAUUAAAGUAGUUCCGUAGUCAUGGCCAUUGAACAAACUUGUUGAACUGCUUGCUCCAGAAGAUGGUGACCUCUGCAAGUUGAAACCCUCUGACCUAUCUUGAUUCGAUGAAACAAGUUCACGUGAGCCUUCUUUGAUCUCUACUUCUGAUGCAGAAUCUAGAAAAGCCAAAAGUUUGAGGGCCUUAUAGUAGUACAUCAUUCCUCUAACCGUCCGCGAUAGGGUCUGGCCUCUAUAGGAUGCCCAGGACCUUAAUUCUGUUAGCUUAUCUGACCAUAUAUCACUGUCUUUCAUCAUCCCCUCUCGUCGCAUUCUCUCCAUAAAAUUCUUCCACUCAUCAUCAUAUAUAGUCUGUAAAUAGUAUAGAAUUGAGAUCCCAUCUUCAUUCCAAGUUCUGAGCUGUUCUUUACUGUAAACUACUUCUUCACUAUAGUAAGGGGUUAGGACACUAAAAGCCAUCAUUUUCUCAAUUUGAGGAGCAUGGGGCAUGCUCAUAAAAAGUGAGUUACUGAAGAAAGCAAUUCUCCGUCUAGCUUCAAGAUUAAUUGGAAUGUUUUGCAUUGAAUCCCUGGAGGUAAGAAUAGUAUGCAAGCGUCGAAGUUGGUGAUAAAAGUUCUCAUUCAUAGUAUCAGUAAACUGAAUGGCAUUUUCAAAAAGUAGAACCUCAGGAGAUGGAUUUUGUAGAGCCAAACCAUCCUCCUUUAGCUGUUCAUUAGUCCUUUUCUCCUUCAAAAAAUCUCGGAUAGAAAUCUCAUAAAGGGCCUGAAGGGUGUUCACCAAUUGGUUAGUAUCUUUUUCUUCCUUGUUUAACAAUUCAAUUAGUUUUAUCAACUUGCUGUGGAUCUGGGGAAGUGCGGUAGUUUUGAAUACUUUAGUGAAUUUCCCAAUCUCAAGUGAAUGAUCAAUUUCUUGAAACAAAGCAGUCACAAUAGAAUGCUCUUCACUAUCAGGUCUGAUAAUCUCUCGAAACAGGUAUCUGAUACAAUCAUAUGCUUCAACCACAGCACAUCGCCUGAACUCAUACUUACAUAUCUUUCUCCAAAGCCUCUUAUCGGGAGAAUCAACAAGUUCUUUAGCCUGACUUAAUGCCAGUAGCAACUCAUUGCAGAGAAGAAAACACGGCCAACGAAUAACCUUGACAUUCCAAGCAUUGUUUGGCAACUCCAGCAUCUCAACCUCUUUAUCAGAAAUGAUAUCCUCCUCUCUAAAUGACAAAAUUAUCUCGUUCCAAAGUAUAGCAAAUUUUUUGGCCUCAGCUUGGUUAGACUCAAGCUUCUUAAAAGGCUUACCGAAUCCAUACCUGAGCUUCAUCCUACGAACCGCAUCCCUCAACUUGCUACUCAACGUUCCCCUUGCAUUCAACAACUGCUCCUCUGGCAUUAAAUUAAAAAGAACUGCAGUGGCAAAAAACUGAAAUCGCAACUUCAGCUGUUCCAUACUUCGAAUCUCGCCCAAAUGUGCAAACAAACCCACCGUCGCCCCAACCAGAGACGAAUAUAUCGAAUACCAUAUCUGAAUAUCCAUUAAAUAAAUCAAAACAACUGGGAUCCACAGUAUCCCAAGAGCAAAAACAUUACCAUUUUUAAAAAACUCAUGCCACUGAUAUUCGACAUCCUUAAGAUCCAACACUGCCCUUGAUGGAGCCAUCAUGGGUAGAAUCUGUAAAAAGUAACUGAAACUAAAUUUUGAGACCAACACCACAACCCAAAAUAAAGUAUACUUAACAUUAUCUACAAGACCCUGACUCAUUCCACGACCAACAUAAAUGCUCCCCUGAAACCACCAGGAUAGCAUAUAAAAAAGCCACCAAUUCCUAUUCUCCAUAAAAUUUCUAACCCAAGGAAGUAUGAAAAGGGCAAAAGCAAGAAGCUCUGGAAUAACAAAAACAAAGCAAAUCUCAAGAAAAAACAUCAACCUCUUAUUUGCUUCAACAGACCAUUCAUGAUCACGGUUUCUCCGACUCAAUGUCUUGGCAUAAAAGUAAGAAAAAACAACUAUCCAUGCCGCAGAAACGAUACUUUUCAACACCAUCCUAAAUCCAAGCAUUUUUGUCUCCCUUGAAACUAACCUCCACUGCAUAACUAUAUCAAGCACAGAUUGAAUAAACCUUAAACCACUCCAAGUGAAGAAAAUAGUUAAAAGCCGAACCUGCACAUCGCGAUCCUUCAUCACCACAUGCCAAGGAUAAGUCCUAUCUUUCCAACCAACAAUAACAGCAGCUUGAAGAAACAAAAUCAGCAUCACCCAAAGCCUAUCAAAACUCCUAAACAAGUUCCAAAACGACCUCCGUUCAACAUAACCGGUUUUCCCAACGCGCUUUCCAACGAAGAAACUACUCCCAGCAUCAAUAGGCCAUUUAAGCCUAUAAAAACACCUCUUAGUCCAAAAAUACUCAUUUAUAUCAUCAUAAUUUCUCCAUUUCGAAUGCGGUUCUUUUCCAUUACCACUACUAAUCUCAGCCUCGAAUCGCACCAUUUGAUAAAUAGGCUUCACAACACUAUCUAGAAAACCGUCUUGCAAACAAAACGGCAGCUCGUCAUCGGAACCGUAACGGUUAUCCGGCUGAUUCUGCAAUAGUUUAUUAAGGUCAAUAGCCAUGUGAUGGAAAAUGUAGCAAAUACAUUCAGGAAUGAAUCUUAGAUUUGCAGAUUCUCCCCAAAUCAGAAGAUAUAGAGAAACAUAGAGGAGUUCUCUUCGGUGAUCGCAGUUAGAACCGGAGCGACCGGAAAGCCAGACGCUAGGUUUAACGCCGAGGUAAGAGCACCAUUUAGUGUAAUUUUUUAGGAGAUUUUUCCGGAAGGAGCGGAGGACAGUGGAAUCGAGAGAAUCGAUGUUGUCUGGUGAAGGAUUGAGACGCAUCUGAGCAUUGGCGAGAUGAAGGAGAAGGUGUUCGCGUUGAUUGCGAACGUUGUCGUUUUGGAAGCCGAAGAAAAGAGCGAGCCAAUCGAGGAGGUCCAUGUGAGGUUGCCAUUUAGGAGGACGGCGGAGGUCUCCGACGGUGCGGAUGGCGGAGAGUGCGGCACGGACUUCAGGGAAACGGAGGGAAGGGUGGUCGGAGUUGAGGUCGUUGAGUGGGAUAAUGUUGUAGGAUUGGAGUUCGGCAUUGUGGCGGUGAGUGGUUGGCAUAUCAUUGGGAUUUGGGAAAAGUGUGGAGGUUAGGAUUCUGUUGGUGAAUGGUGGUUGGUUAGUUACACAGUGUUGGAAGAGAUGGGUAUGGAAGGCUAGUGUUGAUGAUGGUUUCUCUGUGAAAUCCUGUUAUUUGUUGUUGAGUCAAAAUUCCAGUGCAGUGUCUAUUAGUGAGCCUCUUCAUGAAUUUGUCUUCUCCAAUAUUUGGAAGUCUGCUGCCCCGUCAAAGGUCUGUGCGUUUUCUUGGCAAUUGCUACUCAAUAGGAUUCAAACUAAAGAUAAUUUGUUGAGGCGACAUAUGUUACAGGAACAACAUGUGAACUGUGUUUUGUGUGGCUCCGCUGUGGAAACUUCGACACAUUUGUUUCUACAUUGUCGGUGUCCUGCGAAGGUCUGGUAUGGAAUUAUGAGAUGGUUGGGGCUUAUAAUAAUUAUUCCUCCAAACCUUGCGAUUUCGUUUGCUAUGUUAGUAGGUUGCGCCAAAGGUAAAAGAGCAAAGGCUGGAUUAAUUCUUGUUUGGAACUCAUUCAUGUGGGUAAUUUGGAAGCAUAGAAAUGAUUGUGUCUUCAAUAACAAAGUGGUGAAUAUUGAAGAGAUGGUGGAUCAAAUUAAAUUAGUGUGUUGGAAAUGGUUCAUCAAUAGAAUGGCAUCUGGGCCAUGCCUUCUCUAUGAAUGUAAUUGGAGUCCUUUUGAUUGCUUCAAUAGGUGACUACUUGUUGUGUUGGUAGGAUGGGGUUUGGUGUUACUAUUGCUAUUAUAUAGGUGUUUUUCGUUUCUCUGUAUUGUGGCUGUGGUUUUGUUGCUUUUUUUGGCUCUCUUGUUGAGCUUUUCUUGUUGUUUCUGUUGCUAGCCUUGCGCAUCCUAUAUGCCACUUUUUGUACUCUGACUUUUUCUCACCAAACACUACUUGUGUUUAGGUGGAAAUUUUAUCAAUAAAUUUAUUGCAGUUUCAAAAAAAAAAAAGUUACACAGUGACAGUUUACUGUUACAGAGAGAGAGAGAGAGAGAGAGAGAGAGAGAGAGAGAGAGAGAGAGAGAGAGAGAGAGAAGUGGUCUUGUGUUGGAAGAGAUGAGUGUAAUGGUCAGCGCGGGAAAUCAGAAACAAGCGAAGAAGAAAAGGCGCGUUACUUGACACGUGGCAUCUUUCUGUUCUUUUUUUAAAUCUUACCUUGUAAUUUUCUUUUUUUAGGAAGAAAAAAAAAGAAAUAUGAAGAUAUACAAUCUGAUUCUCCAACAAGUGGCGUGUUAUUUACACACACAAAAAUCUUGGUAGUAUCGGAUUUUAUAAUAAACUUUAAUGUGUAACUAAAGGACCGAGAACUCUUCAAGAUUGUCAAUUACAACUCUUCAAGAUCUUAACUUAACCUUUUUAAACUUUUGAAAUCAUAUUCAACAAGAAUAAGUUCUACAUAAAAACCAUCAAGUCACUAACCUUUUAUCUUUGACUUUGCUCCUUUUCAAUGUUCAUGAGUCAUGACAUACAAACCUUACACUAUUUCACCUCAUAUUAGUACAAUCUAAUUUCUAAACCAGAUACUGAUAUUAAAUCAACAAUAUCACAUGAGCUUAAAUUCUUCUUUCCCUUAAAAAGGUGCUCACAAGUAGUCAAUAACAAAAUUUAGUAUCUCAAGUAGAAGCAAAAGUUUAGGAAGUUUUUCAUCAACAACUAAAAAGCUAGGCAUUACGCAAUAUUGGGUUAAGAAACAAAGAGCUGAUCUAUUGUAACUAGAAAAAUCUUAAAGGUUAGCUACCAAUGACUUAGACAAUUCCAAUUACAAUAUAAUUGGACUAUCACUCUACACCUUCCACCAAUUUCCUCUCAUGGCAUCAUGGCCCCCAAUAACUAACCUCUCUAGUCACCAUCUAUUCCUACAGGAGUAUCUCCAAAAUUGAUUCUUAACUAUAAAAUCUACAUAGGAGUUGUAAGGCCACUCAUCCAUUCAUUUCUAAAAGAGUAGUACANNNNNNNNNNNNNNNNNNNNNNNNNNNNNNNNNNNNNNNNNNNNNNNNNNNNNNNNNNNNNNNNNNNNNNNNNNNNNNNNNNNNNNNNNNNNNNNNNNNNNNNNNNNNNNNNNNNNNNNNNNNNNNNNNNNNNNNNNNNNNNNNNNNNNNNNNNNNNNNNNNNNNNNNNNNNNNNNNNNNNNNUCCAAAAUUGAUUCUUAACUAUAAAAUCUACAUAGGAGUUAUAAGGCCACUCAUCCAUUCAUUUCUAAAAGAGUAGUACAAGAGUAACCAGGAAAUUCAGAUCAUGAAACAAAAUCCACAAAAACAUAGACUAAACCAUUUUAUCUUAAUAAUCCAUGACCACAUUAUUUAUCCAUCAUUAGGUAACUGACUAGUCCUCUUAAAAAUUCAAACUAACCUAUUUAACAAACCAAAAAUUACCUUAGUUAAUUUUCUAACUCACUUUAACUAACUAUUUUUCAAAUCACUAGUACAUGUACAGGCCACCUCUUUUUGCAGGAGUACCCAAAAGAUUGAUACCUAAUCAAAUAUAAUCUACAAGAACUAAGCUGGACUAUUUUUUUUCUAACAAGGAAUUUACUCAUACUAGCCCCACAAUCCCUUUCAACAAAGAAGGUUAAUCACGACAUGAUAAGCGUCACACAAAUACAACGCAUCGAACAGUUGUAUAAAGGUCUAGAUCGUGUGGAUACACAGUUUCAUAACCUCAUAACAGGCUAACAUAGGUUACACAAUGGAAAAGGAAACACUAAAAUAAAGGAUCACAAUACAUCACAUGGAGCACAAAAGCACGUCCAACACAUAAUACUAACAACAACCACACAUCAUAGCAAUCACAUAACACACAGGCUUGAUGGACAACAAACAAGUAGUUAAUUAAGCAUUGACAGUGUUGACACACAUGUCGCUUAACAAGGAUUAACAAAAUUAUAACUUGGUCUGAUUAGACCGACCUGCUCUGAUACCAAUUGUAACACCCUUUAAUUUUCCCUUGAUUUUAUUUGCGAAGAAUUCAAUUUAGUUUAUUUCAUUAAAGGUGUCACACCUACUUUUGAAUUGAAUACUUAAUUAAAUAAGGAUUAAGCAGCAGAAAUAAAAUUAAAACCAAUAAACAUAAGUUCUAAAAUUUGAAGUCAAAAAUUAUUGAGAGCAAUAGAAUCAUUCCAAAAACCAAUUGACACUGUUCAAGUCAUUUUGAAGAAAUACUAAUUGAAUAUAUACGUGAAUCCCCCAAGACAUCCUAUCAGAGCGACUCAAUUACUGAAACAGCAAGGGACAAGCUCCCCGAACUCGGCAACUAUGACUCAUCGCCUACCUGAAAAUCUACGGUUGCACACCGUAGGGCCAAGCCAGAAAAAGGAAGCAACAAGGGGUCAAUAAUACAAUCACAAAGAAUAUCACAAACGAGCACAAUUAUUAAAAUAAAACAAUAAGUCAGCAAUAUCAACAUCCAUUCCAAUUUUUCAUCAUGUAGGAUCAACACCAAUUACAAAUUUCAGUUUUAUAUCAUGGAGGAUCACCACCAAUUUCCAGUUUUAUAUCAUGGAGGAUCACCACAAAUUUCCAGUUUUAUAUCAUGGAGGAUCACCAACAAUAGUUCGGCAACGUCAAUUGCAACGAUAUAAAUUCAACACAAAUAGAGACAUCAUGAUUUCAACAUCAGUACGUCAACAUGGUUUAACAUCAUUAACAACAGCUACAACCCACAUCAUAAGUCAACGGCUUAAAAUCAUCGGUUUAACUAAUAACUAUUAUUUAUAGAAUUUCAACGGUUUAACCCUCUCCCACUACUGUCAAAAUUAAUUAGAGUGAUUUAUUAACUCUACUNNNNNNNNNNNNUAAUAAAAGAAGGGUUACUCAAUUAUUAAAUUUUUGUCACAACCAGACCUAAACAAACCCCCGGAAGUUAUUUAUUAAUCUCUGGAAAGCAAGGAAAAGGUUUAAUUGUCGAUCUCGAUACAAAAUCAGGAACAUUGUACUUUUCCUUAAGUUAACAAACUUGAUGUAAAAAUCCUGUGAUAGAGCAGUUAGGUUCACAGAGCUACUGAGACAUGUAGGUAAGUGCUAAAAUUAUGAAAUUCGACAUACAUAAACUACUAUAUGUCCUCUUUCAAACGCAANNNNNNNNNNNNNNNNNNNNNNNNNNNNNNNNNNNNNNNNNNNNNNNNNNCCCUAGCUUAAGAUAUCAAUUUUCGAAGCUGACUGACUCAUAGGAGAUUAUAAAACAGAACUGUCAUUUUCAUAGUAUCACAAAACCAUGCACAAGUUAUAUUAAGCCCCCAAACCUUCCAGUAAUAUACUACUACUUCGUGUAUGUUUGGUUUCAAUUCUGGAGCAUCCAGAAUUGAUUCUGGACGUGUAGAAUUGAUUCUGACUUGUUUGGUUUCUCAAAAGUAGAAUUGAUUCUGCCUCCAGAAUNNNNNNNNNNNNNNNNNNNNNNNNNNNNNNNNNNNNNNNNNNUAUCCAAACAUAAACCACUUCAGCUUAAAAUCAAUUUUGGCCAGAAUCAAUUUUACAGAAUCAAUUCUGCCAAAAUCAAUUCUCUCCGCCGCAGAACCAAACACACGCUUCUUAGCUUUCAGACCCAAUUGGGUUCACUCAAAAAUAUGUUUCCUAACUCAAGUUAUACCCAAUUUAAUCCAACUACAUCAUAAUCUCCUUAUGCAGAAAAUUACCCUAACUUCUCUCUUUCUUUCAUAAUAUUGUAUAUCACACGAAUCCAAUCAACAUAGCAGAGCACAAGAAUUCACACUUUAACAAAGCAUGAACAACAACAACAACAACACUUGUGAAGAAAAGGAAGAAACAAUCAACUCAUACUAUAAAAAAUUUAGAAACUUAGAUGAAACAUUAAACCCCUUACUUAGAAUAGCAAUUAAUGUUUGGUUGUGAGUUUUGUUUUCCUCUUCUUUCUCUUCUCCCUCUCGUGCGUCAAUCUCUCUUUCUCCCUUGCUCCUCUAUAUAUUCUGUUUUUCUCUUCUCUUUUUUUUUUUUUUUUAAAAAAAAGUGGAUAGAUUUCAACUUUGUUUCUAACUUAGUCUAGUGGUUUCCUCCACAAGAAGGAAAAAUUCUGCUUUUAACUAUUCAUGGGUUUUCUUUCUACUAGGCCCAAUUUCAUUAUUUCUACUACUCUUUCUUACUCACACCCCCUCUCCACCUAUUAUAUUAUUUCUACAACCCCGUCUACUUUUUCUUCACUUUAUUUUCAACUUAUCAUUUUACUCAUUUAUUCAUCAAUUAUUUAAUUACUCAUCACACACAGUUAAAUAAUUAACAAUAAUCAACACAACAACUCCUACGAAAAUUAUUAAUUAAUUCUAAAUUCGGGGCGUUACCUUAACUUCCCAAGCAAUGUUAUUAGAACUUGUGAUGUAAGUUGAUCUGGUUAAGGCAUAGUCUUUUGAGUCAAUCUGGUGAGGCAGCGGGGUUAAGAAUUAAGA